AGAUUAAACUGAAGAGUUUGAUCCUGGCUCAGAUUGAACGCUGGCGGCAUGCCUUACACAUGCAAGUCGAACGGCAGCGCGGGGCAACCUGGCGGCGAGUGGCGAACGGGUGAGUAAUAUAUCGGAACGUACCCUGGAGUGGGGGAUAACGUAGCGAAAGUUACGCUAAUACCGCAUACGAUCUAAGGAUGAAAGCAGGGGACCGCAAGGCCUUGUGCUCCUGGAGCGGCCGAUAUCUGAUUAGCUAGUUGGUAGGGUAAAAGCCUACCAAGGCAUCGAUCAGUAGCUGGUCUGAGAGGACGACCAGCCACACUGGAACUGAGACACGGUCCAGACUCCUACGGGAGGCAGCAGUGGGGAAUUUUGGACAAUGGGCGCAAGCCUGAUCCAGCA
This 393-nucleotide ribosomal RNA is filed under the name Duganella vulcania. RNAcentral's name for it is "bacterial SSU rRNA". It matches the Rfam family "Bacterial small subunit ribosomal RNA", at positions 1 to 393 of the family's 1533-position model. The record is from RNAcentral. Lineage: Bacteria; Pseudomonadati; Pseudomonadota; Betaproteobacteria; Burkholderiales; Oxalobacteraceae.